This 468-nucleotide ribosomal RNA is filed under the name uncultured bacterium. RNAcentral describes it as "partial 16S ribosomal RNA". It matches the Rfam family "Bacterial small subunit ribosomal RNA", at positions 28 to 507 of the family's 1533-position model. The record is from RNAcentral.
GACGAACGCUGGCGGCGUGCUUAACACAUGCAAGUCGAACGGAAAGGCCCUGCUUUUGUGGGGUGCUCGAGUGGUGAACGGGUGAGUAACACGUGAGUAACCUGCCCUUGACUUUGGGAUAACUUCAGGAAACUGGGGCUAAUACCGGAUAGGAGCUCCUGCUGCAUGGUGGGGGUUGGAAAGUUUCGGCGGUUGGGGAUGGACUCGCGGCUUAUCAGCUUGUUGGUGGGGUAGUGGCUUACCAAGGCUUUGACGGGUAGCCGGCCUGAGAGGGUGACCGGCCACAUUGGGACUGCGAUACGGCCCAGACUCCUACGGGAGGCAGCAGUGGGGAAUAUUGCACAAUGGGCGGAAGCCUGAUGCAGCAACGCCGCGUGCGGGAUGACGGCCUUCGGGUUGUAAACCGCUUUCGCCUGUGACGAAGCGUGAGUGACGGUAAUGGGUAAAGAAGCACCGGCUAACUACGUG